This 400-nucleotide unclassified non-coding RNA is filed under the name uncultured fungus. RNAcentral's name for it is "sequence contains ITS1". The stretch from base 1 to 105 matches the Rfam family "5.8S ribosomal RNA", at positions 50 to 154 of the family's 154-position model. Lineage: Eukaryota; Fungi. The record is from RNAcentral.
GAAAUGCGAUAAGUAAUGUGAAUUGCAGAAUUCAGUGAAUCAUCGAAUCUUUGAACGCACAUUGCGCUCCUUGGUAUUCCGAAGAGCACGCCUGUUUGAGUAUCGAAAAAACCAUCACGGUUCGGUUUUUGGAGUUCGCUCCAUACGACUUUGAGCCGUGGAUUUGGACCGACUUGGUGUUCGCAUCAAGCAGUCUCAAAAAUGAGCGUUGGAAGCUGGAUCUCCUCUUCUGGGAUCGCUGCCCGAAAAUGUAUGAAUUGAGCUCCCCCUCGGGGGAUUCUUCAUUAUUCUUUCUUGCAGUUCUGAGCCUGGUGGAGAACCGGUCGACCGAUUACACUACUUACACACGAGGGGUCGAGAGCGGUUGUCUCACGAUUCGUCGAAUACUUGGUCUCAAAUC